Scophthalmus maximus (turbot) is the source of this 120-nucleotide ribosomal RNA. The record is from Ensembl. NCBI's taxonomy places the organism in Eukaryota, Metazoa, Chordata, Actinopteri, Pleuronectiformes, Scophthalmidae.
GCUUACGGGCCACACCGCCUAGUUCAUGCCCGAUUUCGUUUGAUCUCGGAAGCUAAGAUAGGUUGGCCCUGGUUAGUACUUGGAUGGGAGACCGCCUGGGAAUACCAGGUGCUGUGCUUU